GGCGCAAUAGCCAAGUGGAAACGCAGCAGACUAGAAGUCUGUUCCCUUCAGAGGGCGUAGGCUCGAAACCUACUGGCGUCG
Molecule: transfer RNA, 81 nt
Filed under: Amanita jacksonii TRTC168611
Lineage: Eukaryota; Fungi; Basidiomycota; Agaricomycetes; Agaricales; Amanitaceae
Description: tRNA-Ser (AGA) (tRNA-Ser-AGA-6-1)
Rfam family: tRNA
About the family: Transfer RNA (tRNA) molecules are approximately 80 nucleotides in length. Their secondary structure includes four short double-helical elements and three loops (D, anti-codon, and T loops).
Source: RNAcentral